GACGAACGCUGGCGGCGUGCUUAACACAUGCAAGUCGAACGGAAAGGCCCUGCUUUUGUGGGGUGCUCGAGUGGCGAACAGGUGAGUAACACGUGAGUAACCUGCCCUUGACUUUGGGAUAACUUCAGGAAACUGGGGCUAAUACCGGAUAGGAGCUCCUGCUGCAUGGUGGGGGUUGGAAAGUUUCGGCGGUUGGGGAUGGACUCGCGGCUUAUCAGCUUGUUGGUGGGGUAGUGGCUUACCAAGGCUUUGACGGGUAGCCGGCCUGAGAGGGUGACCGGCCACAUUGGGACUGAGAUACGGCCCAGACUCCUACGGGAGGCAGCAGUGGGGAAUAUUGCACAAUGGGCGGAAGCCUGAUGCAGCAACGCCGCGUGCGGGAUGACGGCCUUCGGGUUGUAAACCGCUUUCGCCUGUGACGAAGCGUGAGUGACGGUAAUGGGUAAAGAAGCACCGGCUAACUACGUGCCAGCAGCCGCGGUGAUACGUAGGGUGCGAGCGUUGUCCGGAUUUAUUGGGCGUAAAGGGCUCGUAGGUGGUUGAUCGCGUCGGAAGUGUAAUCUUGGGGCUUAACCCUGAGCGUGCUUUCGAUACGGGUUGACUUGAGGAAGGUAGGGGAGAAUGGAAUUCCUGGUGGAGCGGUGGAAUGCGCAGAUAUCAGGAGGAACACCAGUGGCGAAGGCGGUUCUCUGGGCCUUUCCUGACGCUGAGGAGCGAAAGCGUGGGGAGCGAACAGGCUUAGAUACCCUGGUAGUCCACGCUGUAAACGGUGGGUACUAGGUGUGGGGUCCAUUCCACGGGUUCCGUGCCGUAGCUAACGCUUUAAGUACCCCGCCUGGGGAGUACGGCCGCAAGGCUAAAACUCAAAGGAAUUGACGGGGCCCCGCACAAGCGGCGGAGCAUGCGGAUUAAUUCGAUGCAACGCGUAGAACCUUACCUGGGUUUGACAUGGAUCGGGAGUGCUCAGAGAUGGGUGUGCCUCUUUUGGGGUCGGUUCACAGGUGGUGCAUGGCUGUCGUCAGCUCGUGUCGUGAGAUGUUGGGUUAAGUCCCGCAACGAGCGCAACCCUUGUUCACUGUUGCCAGCACGUUAUGGUGGGGACUCAGUGGAGACCGCCGGGGUCAACUCGGAGGAAGGUGGGGAUGACGUCAAGUCAUCAUGCCCCUUAUGUCCAGGGCUUCACGCAUGCUACAAUGGCUGGUACAGAGGGUGGCGAGCCUGUGAGGGUGAGCGAAUCUCGGAAAGCCGGUCUCAGUUCGGAUUGGGGUCUGCAACUCGACCUCAUGAAGUCGGAGUCGCUAGUAAUCGCAGAUCAGCAACGCUGCGGUGAAUACGUUCCCGGG
This 1343-nucleotide ribosomal RNA is filed under the name uncultured bacterium. RNAcentral's name for it is "16S ribosomal RNA". It matches the Rfam family "Bacterial small subunit ribosomal RNA", at positions 28 to 1378 of the family's 1533-position model. The record is from RNAcentral.